UUACCCUAGCAAAUUCUGCUUUUUUUAUCCACUGAAUGUAGAUUAAUAGUCAGGGAGAAGAGCCAAAUCAUUACCAUUAGCACAUAUGCAUUUUUUUACCAACUUUAUUUUAUGUCUGUGGCUGGAGCAAAUAUACAGUAUGUUGGGUAAAAGAAUAACCUUAAAUAAUCAUAGUAAAAUAUAUUCUGAAACAAGUGGGAAUUUGUAUCAUCAAUAGCAGACGAAACUCUAAUCAUCAUCAUCAUUUGUGUGGGGUAACCUGAACCAAUUCAGCUCCAACAUAUGAUUUAUUGAACCAUUUCAAGGUUUCUCAGAAGUGAGCAGUGCUACUUCAGCAUCACUGAUGUAACAUUAAAGUUUUAUUUGUAUUUAUUAAUUUAUUUUUAUAUUUUCUUUUGUUAUUUGACUUUUUUCAUUUCAGGCCAUGUUUAUUCAUUUAGCGUAAUAUUUAUGUUUAUUUUUAUGGUUUUAGUUAAUAAUAAUAACCCUGAGUUUGGUAAACUUCUAUAGUGGUGAAUGGGAGACAACAGCAAAUAUGAUUUUUGCAUUCCCAUCUGCUUCAGUAGCAAAAGAAAGAAAUCACAGUAGGUUUUCCUAUGGGCAGAUUUUGACUGUGUGCCAGUAUCCCAUUUUAGGAAUGCGAGCUUUGAAUAUUGUCUAUAUUAUUACUUAUCUAAAACAUCAUAUUGACUGAUUCUCUGUAAUGGAAAACAGUGUGUUCUGAGAACAAAGUACUGUCAUGCUCAACAAAAUGCAUUUUUCUUGUGGAAAUGUAUCUGGACACAUUUCAUUCUUGUUAUACUGUCUAUGAUAUGCAAGCUUUUGAUUUGUAAAACUAUUAUUACCAUUAUUGUUGAAUAAUUUAUGAAUUGUUGAAAUUUAUGAAUGUAAUAUGGAUGUGAUAUGUAAUUUGACAAUCAAAUGGAAACAAACUUUUUUUUUUUCAUGUGAAGAAUGUGGAGGCUCCAAUUAUUUUUGGCAUUAUACAACAAAUUCUACAAUACAUUAUAUAUAACUUUGCCACUA
Molecule: long non-coding RNA, 1026 nt
Organism: Carassius carassius (crucian carp)
Lineage: Eukaryota; Metazoa; Chordata; Actinopteri; Cypriniformes; Cyprinidae
Exons: 2
Source: RefSeq, a predicted model, not a curated record